AACGAACGCUGGCGGCAUGCCUAACACAUGCAAGUCGAACGGGACCUUCGGGUCUACUGGCGCCCAGGUGCGUAACGCGUGGGAACCCGGCCUUAUGUUCCGGAUUACACCCCGCAAGGGGUGCUAAAACCGGGUAAUGUCCUCGGACCAAAGAUUUAUCGCCCUUGGAUGGGCCCGCGUUGGAUUAGCCUGUUGGUAGGGUAAAAGCCUACCAAGGCGACGCUCCAUAGCUGGGCUGAGAGGAAGAGCAGCCACACUGGGACUGAGACACGGCCCAGACUCCUACGGGAGGCAGCAGUGGGGAAUAUUGGACAAUGGGCGAAAGCCUGAUCCAGCAAGGCCGCGUGAGUGAUGAAGGCCUUAGGGUUGUAAAGCUCUUUUACCCGGGAUGAUAAUGACAGUACCGGGAGAAUAAGCUCCGGCUAACUCCGUG
This 433-nucleotide ribosomal RNA is filed under the name uncultured bacterium. RNAcentral's name for it is "partial 16S ribosomal RNA". It matches the Rfam family "Bacterial small subunit ribosomal RNA", at positions 29 to 507 of the family's 1533-position model. The record is from RNAcentral.